AUUGAACGCUGGCGGCAUGCCUUACACAUGCAAGUCGAACGCCCCGCAAGGGGAGUGGCAGACGGGUGAGUAACACGUGGGAAUCUACCUAGUUCUACGGAAUAGCCCAGGGAAACUUGGAUUAAUACCGUAUACGCCCUAUGGGGGAAAGAUUUAUCGGAAUUAGAUGCGCCCGCGGUUGAUUAGCUAGUUGGUGAGGUAAUGGCUCACCAAGGCGACGAUCAAUAGCUGGUCUGAGAGGAUGACCAGCCACACUGGAACUGAGACACGGUCCAGACUCCUACGGGAGGCAGCAGUGGGGAAUAUUGGACAAUGGGCGCAAGCCUGAUCCAGCCAUGCCGCGUGAGUGACGAAGGCCUUAGGGUUGUAAAGCUCUUUUAACGGGGAAGAUAAUGACGGUACCCGUAGAAUAAGCUCCGGCUAACUUCGUGCCAGCAGCCGCAGUAA
RNAcentral lists this ribosomal RNA (447 nucleotides) under uncultured bacterium. Its description in RNAcentral is "partial 16S ribosomal RNA". It matches the Rfam family "Bacterial small subunit ribosomal RNA", at positions 30 to 523 of the family's 1533-position model. The record is from RNAcentral.